This 517-nucleotide ribosomal RNA is filed under the name uncultured Streptomyces sp. Its description in RNAcentral is "bacterial SSU rRNA". It matches the Rfam family "Bacterial small subunit ribosomal RNA", at positions 144 to 674 of the family's 1533-position model. Lineage: Bacteria; Bacillati; Actinomycetota; Actinomycetes; Kitasatosporales; Streptomycetaceae. The record is from RNAcentral.
CAAGCCCUGGAAACGGGGUCUAAUACCGGAUAUGACAUCCUCCCGCAUGGGAAGGGUGUGGAAAGCUCCGGCGGUGCAGGAUGAGCCCGCGGCCUAUCAGCUUGUUGGUGGGGUGAUGGCCUACCAAGGCGACGACGGGUAGCCGGCCUGAGAGGGCGACCGGCCACACUGGGACCGAGACACGGCCCAGACUCCUACGGGAGGCAGCAGUGGGGAAUAUUGCACAAUGGGCGAAAGCCUGAUGCAGCGACGCCGCGUGAGGGAUGACGGCCUUCGGGUUGUAAACCUCUUUCAGCAGGGAAGAAGCGAAAGUGACGGUACCUGCAGAAGAAGCACCGGCUAACUACGUGCCAGCAGCCGCGGUAAUACGUAGGGUGCGAGCGUUGUCCGGAAUUAUUGGGCGUAAAGAGCUCGUAGGCGGCCUGUCACGUCGGAUGUGAAAGCCCGGGGCUUAACCCCGGGUCUGCAUUCGAUACGGGCAGGCUAGAGUUCGGUAGGGGAGAUCGGAAUUCCUGGU